UCCAUAUGUGAUUGCAAUGCAGGCCAUGUUUGCACCCUUUGUGAUUGAGCUGGUAUGAUUUUUGCUGAAAAAAUAAAUAAACAGACAACACAAGGCAGAUUUUGCCAUUGCUUACGAACGGAUGGAGUUUAUUACAUCCUCUCAAGCUCUAUCAGGUUGGAUGUUUCUUCAACCCUGACCAGUUCACUAGUCUCUGCACCUGAAAAACACCCCCACAGCAUGAUGCUACCACCACCAUGCUUCACCAUUGGGAUGGAAUUGAGCAGUGCCUACCCAGGUGGAGAAGUCGUCAUCUCAGCUGCAAAGAGAUGAUAAACAGAUUUGACAGAAUGCCCACAUCAUGUGGCAUACUGUGCUAAUGUUUUUCAUUAUAUUAUCAUAUUUGCAAAU
Long non-coding RNA from Xyrauchen texanus (razorback sucker), 390 nucleotides. RefSeq lists it as uncharacterized. The transcript has 3 exons. Lineage: Eukaryota; Metazoa; Chordata; Actinopteri; Cypriniformes; Catostomidae. The record is from RefSeq and is a predicted model, not a curated record.